GGAAUUUUGGGCAAUGGGCGAAAGCCUGACCCAGCAACGCCGCGUGAAGGAUGAAAUCCCUCGGGAUGUAAACUUCGCAAGAACGGGAAGAAUCAGGAAGAGUUAACACCUCUUUCGAUCACGGUACUGUUUGUAAGCCCCAGCUAACUCCGUGCCCGCAGCCGCGGUAAUACGGGGGGAGCAAGCGUUGUUCGGCUUUACUGGGCGUAAAGGGCGCGUAGGCGGCCUCCGCAAGUCGACUGUGAAAUCUCCGGGCUUAACCCGGAACGGUCAGCCGAUACUGCGGGGCUAGAGUGCAGAAGGGGCAACUGGAAUUCUCGGUGUAGCGGUGAAAUGCGUAGAUAUCGAGAGGAACACCUGCGGCGAAGGCGGGUUGCUGGGCUGACACUGACGCUGAGGCGCGAAAGCUAGGGGAGCGAA
This 420-nucleotide ribosomal RNA is filed under the name uncultured bacterium. RNAcentral describes it as "bacterial SSU rRNA". It matches the Rfam family "Bacterial small subunit ribosomal RNA", at positions 358 to 772 of the family's 1533-position model. The record is from RNAcentral.